CCGCCGUCAUGCUCGAGUUUCAGUAAAGUUUGGUUUCGACGAAAUAUGUGCCUAAGGAGUUAUAAUAAUUCAUUAUUUGUGGGUUUCUAGUGAAAUUUGAGGCUGAACUGAAGUGAUCACGAAAGUCAUAAGAACAUAUGGAUAUUAUAAGUGGUUACGUUGUAGGUGAAGUGCUCGUUGAUCUCUGAAAAUAUAAUGGCAAUAACAUAUUGAGUGUGCUCCGGCGUCUAGCGAACAUGGCGAUGGCGACGCUUCUUGGACGUUUAUCGAUAUAAACACAUUUAUUUCGUCCAUUUGACAACUCAGGAUGAGUGGAGACGUUGGGGAGGAAGAACAAGUGUCAAAAGUGGAGGCAUCAGCAGCUGUAACUAACACAAUUGCAAUCACCACAUCUAGUUUUGUAACUGGCGUAACACAUACAACCACCACCACUACAGUCAGUGCUUCUACAGUAGAACCCUCUGCACCGUCUUCUCCUACGACUACAGUCACCACAACACCUGCACCGGCCACUCCGCCACCAUCCACUGUCACAACUACUGUUAAUACACCUGCUCCAUCAUGGGCCUCUCCAGCACCUGCUUUAGUCACUCCGCAAGAUACGCCAGAAGAAGAGGCAGAAGAAGAAGGUAGUGUUGGUGGAGAAGCAAAUUGUACUCCUGAGCGUGUGUAUAUAUCUCCAGAACAGUUAGCCAAUAUUACUAAAGAAGAGCUAGUAGAAAAAUGGACUCUUCAAGAAAAGUUUUUAGAGUGCUUACAGAACAGAAUGGAAUCAUUAGAAAGAGAAGUUGAGGAACUGCAUGGUGUCAGAGAAAGUGAAGAGAGACUUAAAGGACAACUUGCCGAGUUGCAGCGGAAAGAGCAGUAUCACAUCAUGAGGUUAUCAAGUAAAGAACAUGAACUACAAGAUAUGGGGGCCCAGAUUCAAGAACUUAAAAACAUGUCCGUUGGAGUGGGAGGACUCAGAAACUGUCUGCUAGACCCAGCUGUAAACCUCCUCUUUGAACGUCUCAAGAGGGAUCUGGAUUCAGCACGAACUAAGAUGGAGGAGACACAGAAUGAGCUUUCAGCCUGGAAGUUCACCCCCGAUAGAAGAUAUCUGUAUGUGAAAGAUGCUGAGUCCUGAGUGCUUUCAGGAAUAGUCGUAAAGAGAAAAAAGGGUAUAUGCGCUUCAUUUUUUGCAUCGCUUUUAAUUUGCACUUUAAAAAAAGUGAUAUUUAGAAAGAAAGACCAUUGGCGCACUAUUCCCAAAAUUCGUUUGUGUCCUCUGGAAAAAAAGUACUGUACUGCCAUUGGGAUAGAACUGAUGUAGAAGCUAUAGACACUAAUGAUUAAGACAGUCAUGAGAAUUAUUGGUUUUUGGCUCUUCGAAAGAGUGCAGUGGUGACCCUGAUGUAUUUAUCAGAAGGAGAACUAUGGCCAAAUGAAGCUGUUCAUAGUUCAAUGCACUCGGCUGAACUUUUAACUUUAGUAUCAAAGACUUAAAAUCUAUAUAUUGCAGCGUUUCAAGUUAAUCCAUGUUCCUCUUAACCUGAAAACAAUACUGGCAAACAACUGAUGGCCAAGUGUCGCUUGCUUAUCAAGGAAAAUGAAGAAUUGGGAAGAAUGAUAACCUCUGGUCGUUUAGCUAAAUUAGAAGGUGAAUUGGCCCUUCAAAGGAACUUCAGUGAAGAGCUUAAGAAAU
Molecule: RNA transcript, 1684 nt
Organism: Macrobrachium nipponense
Lineage: Eukaryota; Metazoa; Arthropoda; Malacostraca; Decapoda; Palaemonidae
Gene name: pre-mRNA-splicing regulator WTAP-like
Exons: 6
Source: RefSeq, a predicted model, not a curated record